RNAcentral lists this unclassified non-coding RNA (209 nucleotides) under Hevea brasiliensis (rubber tree). Lineage: Eukaryota; Viridiplantae; Streptophyta; Magnoliopsida; Malpighiales; Euphorbiaceae. The record is from RNAcentral.
AAUUCUUCUGAUGAGUAAAGCUCUCUAUCAGCUGAGAUCUUCUGCACCAUCUACUUGUGGCGGUGGAACUGUUUGUUAUGUCAAUGGCUUCAAUGAAAAGGACACAUUAUAUUUGGAAGAGAUAGAGGAAAGAGAAAAUGGUGGGACUCCUCAAAUAAUCCAAACAAUCAGAGCAGCAUUGGCUAUCUGGGUUAAAGAAUACAUUGGCU